UACGUAGGGGGCAAGCGUUGUCCGGAAUCAUUGGGCGUAAAGCGCGCGUAGGCGGCCCGGUAAGUCCGCUGUAAAAGUCAGGGGCUCAACCCUUGAACGCCGGUGGAUACUGCCGGGCUAGAGUCCGGAAGAGGCGAGUGGAAUUCCUGGUGUAGCGGUGGAAUGCGCAGAUAUCAGGAGGAACACCAAUAGCGAAGGCAGCUCGCUGGGACGGUACUGACGCUGAGGCGCGAAAGCGUGGGUAGCAAACAGG
This 253-nucleotide ribosomal RNA is filed under the name uncultured bacterium. RNAcentral's name for it is "partial 16S ribosomal RNA". It matches the Rfam family "Bacterial small subunit ribosomal RNA", at positions 524 to 776 of the family's 1533-position model. The record is from RNAcentral.